Molecule: ribosomal RNA, 200 nt
Filed under: uncultured bacterium
Lineage: Bacteria
Description: partial 16S ribosomal RNA
Rfam family: Bacterial small subunit ribosomal RNA
Source: RNAcentral
AGAGUUUGAUCAUGGCUCAGGACAAACGCUGGCGGCGUGCGUAACACAUGCAAGUCGGACGAGGCAGCUCUUUCUUCGGAGAGGGGUGCUGAGUGGCGGACGGGUGAGUAACACGUGGAUAACCUGCCCUGGUGUGGGGGAUACCCUGUAGAAAUAUGGGCUAAUACCGCAUGAGAUCUGGCCGUGGGAGCAUGGUCAGA